AGUCCAUGAUGUGAACAUUUCCAUUACAACUCUUUGUACCCCUCCCAAGGCUCAUAUGAUGAUUCACCAUCCUACUGACCAAAACUUGAUAUUUCCAUGCGUAGUUU
Molecule: small nucleolar RNA, 107 nt
Organism: Coffea eugenioides
Lineage: Eukaryota; Viridiplantae; Streptophyta; Magnoliopsida; Gentianales; Rubiaceae
Source: RefSeq, a predicted model, not a curated record